Molecule: ribosomal RNA, 465 nt
Filed under: Vreelandella stevensii
Lineage: Bacteria; Pseudomonadati; Pseudomonadota; Gammaproteobacteria; Oceanospirillales; Halomonadaceae
Description: partial 16S ribosomal RNA
Rfam family: Bacterial small subunit ribosomal RNA
Source: RNAcentral
CCUACGGGUGGCAGCAGUGGGGAAUAUUGGACAAUGGGGGGAACCCUGAUCCAGCCAUGCCGCGUGUGUGAAGAAGGCCCUCGGGUUGUAAAGCACUUUCAGUGAGGAAGAACGCCUGGUGGUUAAUACCCAUCAGGAAAGACAUCACUCACAGAAGAAGCACCGGCUAACUCCGUGCCAGCAGCCGCGGUAAUACGGAGGGUGCGAGCGUUAAUCGGAAUUACUGGGCGUAAAGCGCGCGUAGGUGGCUUGAUAAGCCGGUUGUGAAAGCCCCGGGCUCAACCUGGGAACGGCAUCCGGAACUGUCAAGCUAGAGUGCAGGAGAGGAAGGUAGAAUUCCCGGUGUAGCGGUGAAAUGCGUAGAGAUCGGGAGGAAUACCAGUGGCGAAGGCGGCCUUCUGGACUGACUCUGACACUGAGGUGCGAAAGCGUGGGUAGCAAACAGGAUUAGAUACCCCAGUAGUC